GCUGGGCAUGGUGGCGUGUGCCUGUAAUCCCAACUACUCGGGAGGCUGAGGCAGGAGAAUUGCUUGAACCUGGGAGGCAGAGGCUGCAGUGAGCCAAGAUCAUGCCACUGCACUCCAGCCUGGGCAACAGAGUGAGACCCUGUUUUUU
This 148-nucleotide small RNA is filed under the name Callithrix jacchus (white-tufted-ear marmoset). RNAcentral describes it as "Metazoan signal recognition particle RNA (ENSCJAG00000086402.1)". Lineage: Eukaryota; Metazoa; Chordata; Mammalia; Primates; Cebidae. The record is from Rfam by way of RNAcentral.